This 117-nucleotide small RNA is filed under the name Marmota monax (woodchuck). Lineage: Eukaryota; Metazoa; Chordata; Mammalia; Rodentia; Sciuridae. The record is from RNAcentral.
ACUGGAUGUAGUGGUAUGCACCUGUAGUUCUAACUACUUGGGAGGUUGAGUUAGGAAGAUCACUUGAGCUUAGGAGUUCAAGGCCAACCUGGGCAACAUAGUGAGACUCCAUCCCCC